UUACAAAUAGAAGAUAUGAGAAUAUAUUUUCAAUCAAUUCUGAAUAAUAAAUUUCAGUAUUAUUUUCUACUUGGUAUCAAUAGCUUCUGAUCUUGGAACUCCGUUCUGCUGCACAGUCGCACCGCCGUCGCUGUCUGACCACCGCUGCUAUCGCCAUCACCGAUUGGGGUCGUUGAUAGGGCAGAAAGGUGUGCCUAACUCCAGCGACCAUAAACGCCUUUGCACAGUCGCCGCCGUCGCUGUCCGACCACCGCCACCGCCACCGUUGCCGGUUGGGGUCAUUGAUAGGGCAGAAAGGUGCGCCCAACUCCGACGACCACAACGCCGGAAGUCGCUCAGUGAGAGGAGCCUCCAUGCGCCGCCACGCGCCUCCGCCACGCGCCUCCACCGUCGCCGGCACGUGUAGCCCAUGCGCCCACCUUUGGCGAGACCUACUCGCCGCCGCCGCCACAGAAAGGGUCGCCGGGAACUCCUGAGUCUGUUCCUAGGGUCCCGUUUUGCCUAUAUUUGAGUAGAUAUGAGUUUUAAGGUUUGACCCAUACACUGUCAUUGUCUUGGAGACUCCUCGUUGCGUUCUACAGGAUGUCUGGAGUAAAAAUUAUUCCUUUGAAAGCAAUGGAUGAAUCAAUGAGACCUUGCCAUGGGGAAGACAAUUUUAACUGCUAAGGAGCAGAGUGGGUUGUACUUUUUAGAGUUUGAUGAGCAAAGAAACACGAAAAUCAUGAGUCAACAAGUAACAUCUGAGACGUGGGCAAAAUCCCAAAUAUGGUUACAUCAUCAAAGGCUUGGACAUCCUUCAUUCAGUUUUAUCAAGUCCUUAUUUCCCCACUUGUUUACCAAAGAAUCUGUUGAGUCUUUUAAUUGUGAUAUUUGUCAAUUUUCAAAACACCAUCGUGCAUCUUAUCCUAUUAGUCAU
Molecule: long non-coding RNA, 916 nt
Organism: Vigna radiata var. radiata (mung bean)
Lineage: Eukaryota; Viridiplantae; Streptophyta; Magnoliopsida; Fabales; Fabaceae
Exons: 2
Source: RefSeq, a predicted model, not a curated record